UCCUACGGGAGGCAGCAGUAGGGAAUCUUCCGCAAUGACGAAAGUCUGACGGAGCAACGACGCGUGAGUGAUGAAGGUUUUCGGAUCGUAAUACUCUGUUGUCAAGGAAGAACAAGUACCGGAGUAGCUGCCGGUACCUUGACGGUACCUUACCAGAAAGCCACGGCUUACUACGUGCCAGCAGCCGCGUAAUACGUAGGUGGCAAGCGUUGUCCGGAAUUAUUGGGCGUAAAGCGCGCGCAGGCGGUUCCUUAAGUCUGAUGUGAAAGCCCCCGGCUCAACCGGGGAGGGUCAUUGGAAACUGGGGAACUUGAGUGCAGAAGAGAAGAGUGGAAUUCCACGUGUAGCGGGUGAAAUGCGUAGAGAUGUGAGACACAGUGGCGAAGGCGACUCUUUGGUCUGUAACUGACGCUGAGCGCGAAAGCGUGGAGAGCAAACAGGAUUAGAUACCGUGGUAGUCCACGCCGUAAACGAUGAGUGCUAAGUGUUAGAGGGUUUCCGCCCUUUAGUGCUGCAGCAAACGCAUUAAGCACUCCGCCUGGGGAGUACGGCCGCAAGGCUGAAACUCAAAGGAAUUGACGGGGGCCCGCACAAGCG
This 597-nucleotide ribosomal RNA is filed under the name uncultured bacterium. Its description in RNAcentral is "bacterial SSU rRNA". It matches the Rfam family "Bacterial small subunit ribosomal RNA", at positions 337 to 931 of the family's 1533-position model. The record is from RNAcentral.